RNAcentral lists this ribosomal RNA (301 nucleotides) under uncultured bacterium. Its description in RNAcentral is "partial 16S ribosomal RNA". It matches the Rfam family "Bacterial small subunit ribosomal RNA", at positions 509 to 807 of the family's 1533-position model. The record is from RNAcentral.
CAGCCGCCACGGUAAUACGAAGGGGGCUAGCGUUGCUCGGAAUUACUGGGCGUAAAGGGAGCGUAGGCGGACUGUUUAGUCAGAGGUGAAAGCCCAGGGCUCAACCUUGGAAUUGCCUUUGAUACUGGCAGUCUUGAGUACGGAAGAGGUAUGUGGAACUCCGAGUGUAGAGGUGAAAUUCGUAGAUAUUCGGAAGAACACCAGUGGCGAAGGCGACAUACUGGUCCGUUACUGACGCUGAGGCUCGAAAGCGUGGGGAGCAAACAGGAUUAGAUACCCGAGUAGUCCCUGUCUCUUAUAC